GACGAACGCUGGCGGCGUGCUUAACACAUGCAAGUCGAACGGAGAUUAUUUUAAGCUUGCUUUUGAUGAUCUUAGUGGCAAACGGGUGAGUAACGCGUAGGCAACCUGCCUUUCCGAUGGGGACAACAGUUCGAAAGGACUGCUAAUACCGAAUGAUGUAUAUCUUCCGCAUGGAGGACAUACCAAAGACGGCCUCUAUAUAUAAGCUGUCACGGAAAGAUGGGCCUGCGUCUGAUUAGCCAGUUGGCGGGGUAAUGGCCCACCAAAGCGACGAUCAGUAGCCGGUCUGAGAGGAUGAACGGCCACAUUGGGACUGAGACACGGCCCAAACUCCUACGGGAGGCAGCAGUGGGGAAUCUUCCGCAAUGGACGAAAG
RNAcentral lists this ribosomal RNA (376 nucleotides) under uncultured bacterium. RNAcentral's name for it is "bacterial SSU rRNA". It matches the Rfam family "Bacterial small subunit ribosomal RNA", at positions 28 to 381 of the family's 1533-position model. The record is from RNAcentral.